RNAcentral lists this ribosomal RNA (497 nucleotides) under uncultured bacterium. RNAcentral's name for it is "partial 16S ribosomal RNA". It matches the Rfam family "Bacterial small subunit ribosomal RNA", at positions 28 to 507 of the family's 1533-position model. The record is from RNAcentral.
GAUGAACGCUGGCGGCGUGCCUAAUACAUGCAAGUCGAGCGAACAGAUGAGGAGCUUGCUCCUCUGACGUUAGCGGCGGACGGGUGAGUAACACGUGGAUAACCUACCUAUAAGACUGGGAUAACUUCGGGAAACCGGAGCUAAUACCGGAUAAUAUAUUGAACCGCAUGGUUCAAUAGUGAAAGACGGUUUUGCUGUCACUUAUAGAUGGAUCCGCGCCGCAUUAGCUAGUUGGUAAGGUAACGGCUUACCAAGGCGACGAUGCGUAGCCGACCUGAGAGGGUGAUCAGCCACACUGGAACUGAGACACGGUCCAGACUCCUACGGGAGGCAGCAGUAGGGAAUCUUCCGCAAUGGGCGAAAGCCUGACGGAGCAACGCCGCGUGAGUGAUGAAGGUCUUCGGAUCGUAAAACUCUGUUAGUAGGGAAGAACAAAUGUGUAAGUAACUAUGCACGUCUUGACGGUACCUAAACAGAAAGCCACGGCUAACUACGUG